AAGAAAUUGGUGUUCCAGUUCCUUCUUUUCGUUCACAGCCCUGAAUUUGCUAUGGGAAAAGAGAGGUUGCCCCAAAUAUGAAUUCGUUGUCUUCAAUCGCCCAACAAUGUAACGGACGUUUGCCCCUCAAUCAAAGUUUGCCCCUCAAUCAAAGUUGGCCACGAAUCCAAACAUAAAUCUCCAAUAAUCCAAACCACCCAGGCGCGUAUCCAAACAUAAAUAUCCAAUAAUCCAAACCGUGCUUUAGCUUUAAUGCUUUCU
RNAcentral lists this unclassified non-coding RNA (261 nucleotides) under Hevea brasiliensis (rubber tree). Lineage: Eukaryota; Viridiplantae; Streptophyta; Magnoliopsida; Malpighiales; Euphorbiaceae. The record is from RNAcentral.